This 87-nucleotide transfer RNA is filed under the name Planctomycetota bacterium. Its description in RNAcentral is "tRNA-Asn". It matches the Rfam family "tRNA". Rfam says of the family: Transfer RNA (tRNA) molecules are approximately 80 nucleotides in length. Their secondary structure includes four short double-helical elements and three loops (D, anti-codon, and T loops). Further hydrogen bonds mediate the characteristic L-shaped molecular structure. tRNAs have two regions of fundamental functional importance: the anti-codon, which is responsible for specific mRNA codon recognition, and the 3' end, to which the tRNAs corresponding amino acid is attached (by aminoacyl-tRNA synthetases). tRNAs cope with the degeneracy of the genetic code in two manners: having more than one tRNA (with a specific anti-codon) for a particular amino acid; and 'wobble' base-pairing, i.e. permitting non-standard base-pairing at the 3rd anti-codon position. The record is from RNAcentral. Lineage: Bacteria; Pseudomonadati; Planctomycetota.
UGGCGGGUGUUCCGAAUGGUAAGGAACCUGGCUGUUAACCAGGCGGAUGCCCUGCAUCCAUGGGGGUUCGAGUCCCUCCCCGCCAGC